Molecule: small RNA, 29 nt
Filed under: Bombyx mori (domestic silkworm)
Lineage: Eukaryota; Metazoa; Arthropoda; Insecta; Lepidoptera; Bombycidae
Description: ovarian small RNA-4131
Source: RNAcentral
UUGAUUCCUACUUUCUUCAGUUUUGUUUC